RNAcentral lists this ribosomal RNA (433 nucleotides) under uncultured bacterium. RNAcentral's name for it is "partial 16S ribosomal RNA". It matches the Rfam family "Bacterial small subunit ribosomal RNA", at positions 29 to 507 of the family's 1533-position model. The record is from RNAcentral.
AACGAACGCUGGCGGCAUGCCUAACACAUGCAAGUCGAACGAAGGCUUCGGCCUUAGUGGCGCACGGGUGCGUAACGCGUGGGAAUCUGCCCUUUGCUUCGGAAUAACAGUUAGAAAUGACUGCUAACACCGGAUGAUGUCGCAAGACCAAAGAUUUAUCGGCACAGGAUGAGCCCGCGUAGGAUUAGCUAGUUGGUGGGGUAAAGGCCUACCAAGGCGACGAUCCUUAGCUGGUCUGAGAGGAUGAUCAGCCACACUGGGACUGAGACACGGCCCAGACUCCUACGGGAAGCAGCAGUAGGGAAUAUUCGACAAUAGGCGAAAGCCUGAUCCAGCAAUGCCGCGUGAGUGAUGAAGGCCUUAGGGUUGUAAAGCUCUUUUACCCGGGAUGAUAAUGACAGUACCGGGAGAAUAAGCUCCGGCUAACUCCGUG